AAAAUUGUAAAAAAAUAUUUUAAAUUAUUAAUAGUUAUGAUCUUUAAAAUUAAAAAAUUUGGCGGUAUUUUAGUCUAUUCAGAGGAAUCUGUUCUAUAAGUGAUAUCCCACGUUUAAUUAGGCUUAAUUUAGAAAUUUAUAUAUCGUUGUAGAUUAAAUAUUUUAAAAGAAUUAAAUAUUUAAAAUUUAUUAAAUAAUAAAAUAAAUCAAAUCAAGGUGUAGUUUAUAAUUAAGAAGAAAUGGAUUACAAUUAAUUUAUUAUUGGUAAUAAAAUUGAAAAUUUUAUUUAAAUUGGAUUUGAAAGUAAUUAAUUUAAUUUUUUUUUAAUGAGUUAGUUCUAAAAUAUGU
Molecule: ribosomal RNA, 348 nt
Filed under: nr. Gloeosoma sp. CO971
Lineage: Eukaryota; Metazoa; Arthropoda; Insecta; Coleoptera; Corylophidae
Description: partial 12S ribosomal RNA
Source: RNAcentral